GAUGAAGAACGCAGCGAAAUGCGAUAAGUAAUGUGAAUUGUAGAAUUCAGUGAAUCAUCGAAUCUUUGAACGCACAUUGCGCCCCUUGGUAUUCCGAGGGGCAUGCCUGUUCGAGCGUCAUUAUAACCCCUCAAGCUCAGCUUGGUGUUGGGGCCUGCCGCACGGGCAGCCCUUAAAAUCAGUGGCGGUGCCAUCUGGCUCUAAGCGUAGUAAUUCUUCUCGCUAUAGAGUUCCGGUGGAUGCUUGCCAUUAACCCCCAAUUUUCUAUGGUUGACCUCGGAUCAGGUAGGGAUACCCGCUGAACUUAAGCAUAUCAAUAAGCGGAGGA
This 328-nucleotide unclassified non-coding RNA is filed under the name soil metagenome. RNAcentral's name for it is "partial contains 5.8S ribosomal RNA, internal transcribed spacer 2, and large subunit ribosomal RNA". The stretch from base 1 to 120 matches the Rfam family "5.8S ribosomal RNA", at positions 35 to 154 of the family's 154-position model. The record is from RNAcentral.